This 253-nucleotide ribosomal RNA is filed under the name uncultured bacterium. RNAcentral's name for it is "partial 16S ribosomal RNA". It matches the Rfam family "Bacterial small subunit ribosomal RNA", at positions 524 to 776 of the family's 1533-position model. The record is from RNAcentral.
UACGUAGGGUGCAAGCGUUGUCCGGAAUUAUUGGGCGUAAAGAGCUCGUAGGCGGUUUGUCGCGUCUGCUGUGAAAACUCAGGGCUUAACUCUGAGUUUGCAGUGGGUACGGGCAGACUAGAGUGCGGUAGGGGAGACUGGAAUUCCUGGUGUAGCGGUGAAAUGCGCAGAUAUCAGGAGGAACACCGGUGGCGAAGGCGGGUCUCUGGGCCGUAACUGACGCUGAGGAGCGAAAGCAUGGGGAGCGAACAGG